UACGAAGGGGGCUAGCGUUGCUCGGAAUCACUGGGCGUAAAGGGCGCGUAGGCGGAUCUUUAAGUCGGGGGUGAAAGCCCAGGGCUCAACCCUGGAAUGGCCUUCGAUACUGGAGAUCUUGAGACCGGAAGAGGUAAGUGGAACUGCGAGUGUAGAGGUGAAAUUCGUAGAUAUUCGCAAGAACACCAGUGGCGAAGGCGGCUUACUGGUCCGGUACUGACGCUGAGGUGCGAAAGCGUGGGGAGCAAACAGG
Molecule: ribosomal RNA, 253 nt
Filed under: uncultured bacterium
Lineage: Bacteria
Description: partial 16S ribosomal RNA
Rfam family: Bacterial small subunit ribosomal RNA
Source: RNAcentral